UAUUGCACAAUGGGCGAAAGCCUGAUGCAGCAACGCCGCGUGAGCGAUGAAGGCCUUCGGGUCGUAAAGCUCUGUCCUCAAGGAAGAUAAUGACGGUACUUGAGGAGGAAUCCACGGCUAACUAGGUGCCAGCAGCCGCGGUACUACGUCGGGGGCUAGCGUUAUCCGGAAUUACUGGGCGUAAAGGGUGCGUAGGUGGUUUCUUAAGUCAGGGGUGAAAGGCUACGGCUCGACCGUAGUAAGCCUUUGAAACUGGGGAACUUGAGUGCAGGAGAGGAGAGUGGAAUUCCUAGUGUAGCGGUGAAAUGCGUAGAUAUUAGGAGGAACACCAGUUGCGAAGGCGGCUCUCUGGACUGUAACUGACACUGAGGCACGAAAGCGUGGGGAGCAAA
This 392-nucleotide ribosomal RNA is filed under the name uncultured bacterium. RNAcentral describes it as "bacterial SSU rRNA". It matches the Rfam family "Bacterial small subunit ribosomal RNA", at positions 362 to 772 of the family's 1533-position model. The record is from RNAcentral.